UACGUAGGGUGCGAGCGUUAAUCGGAAUUACUGGGCGUAAAGCGUGCGCAGGCGGUUUUGUAAGCCAGAUGUGAAAUCCCCGGGCUUAACCUGGGAACUGCGUCUGAUACUGGGAGGCUUGAGUAUGGGAGAGGGAUGUAGAAUUCCAGGUGUAGCGGUGAAAUGCGUAGAUAUCAGGAGGAACACCGGUGGCGAAGGCGGGUCUCUGGGCCACUACUGACGCUGAGGAGCGAAAGCGUGGGGAGCGAACAGG
This 253-nucleotide ribosomal RNA is filed under the name uncultured bacterium. RNAcentral describes it as "partial 16S ribosomal RNA". It matches the Rfam family "Bacterial small subunit ribosomal RNA", at positions 524 to 776 of the family's 1533-position model. The record is from RNAcentral.